Molecule: ribosomal RNA, 882 nt
Filed under: Triticum aestivum (bread wheat)
Lineage: Eukaryota; Viridiplantae; Streptophyta; Magnoliopsida; Poales; Poaceae
Description: partial small subunit ribosomal RNA
Source: RNAcentral
AUGUUUUGUUUUGCAUUAAAUCAUUUUUGUUUGUUCAAUCUUGCAGAUGAAUUUAAGCCAGCAUCUAUUGACAAGACUCAAGCUGGCUCUCUGCAGAAGAGCAAAGAUAACCGGGUAACUGUGGAAUUUCAUAACAAUCAGCCUGGCAGGCCAAAGGUGGCAUUCGAGGGAAGCCAAGAAGAGUACAAGGAUAAUGAUGGUGUCUUGUUUUUUGAUGGUGAGACCUUUCGCUUGGAACGAUUGCACCGGGCAGUCAAGAGAUUAAGGCAUGUCCGGGUUCCGGGAGAGUCUGUAGCAACUUCCUUGGCAGCUACAACUACUGGAAUGGGUGAAUCUCAUUCUCCUCCAUUAGCGAAAGUUGGCAAGUUGCCUGCAACGAGCAAACCUUCUAUACACUCAGUUCCGGUUGAGGUUGAGCACAUUGACAUUGGUGAACCUGAAAAUCCAGGACGAAGAAACAGUAACAGGAGCUCUACAUAUCAACCAGUCACCACAGACCCAUUUUCCUCUUCGCCUGAUCCCAAUGACCAAGAUGAAAACCUAGACAUACUCGGUGAUGAUGACAAUGGCUCACCCAAUAAUAUGGCCUCAGCACAAGGGACGUCUUAUCGUGGUUUUGACAUCAACUUGCCAAAUCAGCUCGACAUGGAUGAUGAGGUUGCUGAUGUUGAUGUAAAUGACGAAGCUGAGGAGGGACUUAAUGCAGCUGAGGCGCUGCGAGCUCAAGUCAAUGCAGAAGGACAGCAGGUGGAGCAGGCCACCUCUAGUUCAAGUGGAAGCAGCAGCGGCAGCGGGAGCGGAAGCGGGAGCGGCAGCAGCACCAGUGGUAGUGACGGCAGUGAUGGCGAUUCACCCAGCUCCGGAGGGGAUGUUGAUAUAUGA